This 468-nucleotide ribosomal RNA is filed under the name uncultured bacterium. RNAcentral describes it as "partial 16S ribosomal RNA". It matches the Rfam family "Bacterial small subunit ribosomal RNA", at positions 28 to 507 of the family's 1533-position model. The record is from RNAcentral.
GACGAACGCUGGCGGCGUGCUUAACACAUGCAAGUCGAACGGAAAGGCCCUGCUUUUGUGGGGUGCUCGAGUGGCGAACGAGUGAGUAACACGUGAGUAACCUGCCCUUGACUUUGGGAUAACUUCAGGAAACUGGGGCUAAUACCGGAUAGGAUCUCCUGCUGCAUGGUGGGGGUUGGAAAGUUUCGGCGGUUGGGGAUGGACUCGCGGCUUAUCAGCUUGUUGGUGGGGUAGUGGCUUACCAAGGCUUUGACGGGUAGCCGGCCUGAGAGGGUGACCGGCCACAUUGGGACUGAGAUACGGCCCAGACUCCUACGGGAGGCAGCAGUGGGGAAUAUUGCACAAUGGGCGGAAGCCUGAUGCAGCAACGCCGCGUGCGGGAUGACGGCCUUCGGGUUGUAAACCGCUUUCGCCUGUGACGAAGCGUGAGUGACGGUAAUGGGUAAAGAAGCACCGGCUAACUACGUG